Molecule: transfer RNA, 80 nt
Filed under: Philautus everetti (Everett's tree frog)
Lineage: Eukaryota; Metazoa; Chordata; Amphibia; Anura; Rhacophoridae
Description: tRNA-Val
Source: RNAcentral
CAAAAUGUAGCUUAAUCAAAGCCCCCCGCUUACACCGAGAAAAUAUCUACGAGACCUGGAUCAUUUUGAGCCAUAACCUA